Molecule: ribosomal RNA, 1680 nt
Filed under: Escherichia coli
Lineage: Bacteria; Pseudomonadati; Pseudomonadota; Gammaproteobacteria; Enterobacterales; Enterobacteriaceae
Description: partial 23S ribosomal RNA
Rfam family: Bacterial large subunit ribosomal RNA
Source: RNAcentral
CAUAGGUUAAUGAGGCGAACCGGGGGAACUGAAACAUCUAAGUACCCCGAGGAAAAGAAAUCAACCGAGAUUCCCCCAGUAGCGGCGAGCGAACGGGGAGCAGCCCAGAGCCUGAAUCAGUGUGUGUGUUAGUGGAAGCGUCUGGAAAGGCGCGCGAUACAGGGUGACAGCCCCGUACACAAAAAUGCACAUGCUGUGAGCUCGAUGAGUAGGGCGGGACACGUGGUAUCCUGUCUGAAUAUGGGGGGACCAUCCUCCAAGGCUAAAUACUCCUGACUGACCGAUAGUGAACCAGUACCGUGAGGGAAAGGCGAAAAGAACCCCGGCGAGGGGAGUGAAAAAGAACCUGAAACCGUGUACGUACAAGCAGUGGGAGCACGCUUAGGCGUGUGACUGCGUACCUUUUGUAUAAUGGGUCAGCGACUUAUAUUCUGUAGCAAGGUUAACCGAAUAGGGGAGCCGAAGGGAAACCGAGUCUUAACUGGGCGUUAAGUUGCAGGGUAUAGACCCGAAACCCGGUGAUCUAGCCAUGGGCAGGUUGAAGGUUGGGUAACACUAACUGGAGGACCGAACCGACUAAUGUUGAAAAAUUAGCGGAUGACUUGUGGCUGGGGGUGAAAGGCCAAUCAAACCGGGAGAUAGCUGGUUCUCCCCGAAAGCUAUUUAGGUAGCGCCUCGUGAAUUCAUCUCCGGGGGUAGAGCACUGUUUCGGCAAGGGGGUCAUCCCGACUUACCAACCCGAUGCAAACUGCGAAUACCGGAGAAUGUUAUCACGGGAGACACACGGCGGGUGCUAACGUCCGUCGUGAAGAGGGAAACAACCCAGACCGCCAGCUAAGGUCCCAAAGUCAUGGUUAAGUGGGAAACGAUGUGGGAAGGCCCAGACAGCCAGGAUGUUGGCUUAGAAGCAGCCAUCAUUUAAAGAAAGCGUAAUAGCUCACUGGUCGAGUCGGCCUGCGCGGAAGAUGUAACGGGGCUAAACCAUGCACCGAAGCUGCGGCAGCGACGCUUAUGCGUUGUUGGGUAGGGGAGCGUUCUGUAAGCCUGUGAAGGUGUGCUGUGAGGCAUGCUGGAGGUAUCAGAAGUGCGAAUGCUGACAUAAGUAACGAUAAAGCGGGUGAAAAGCCCGCUCGCCGGAAGACCAAGGGUUCCUGUCCAACGUUAAUCGGGGCAGGGUGAGUCGACCCCUAAGGCGAGGCCGAAAGGCGUAGUCGAUGGGAAACAGGUUAAUAUUCCUGUACUUGGUGUUACUGCGAAGGGGGGACGGAGAAGGCUAUGUUGGCCGGGCGACGGUUGUCCCGGUUUAAGCGUGUAGGCUGGUUUUCCAGGCAAAUCCGGAAAAUCAAGGCUGAGGCGUGAUGACGAGGCACUACGGUGCUGAAGCAACAAAUGCCCUGCUUCCAGGAAAAGCCUCUAAGCAUCAGGUAACAUCAAAUCGUACCCCAAACCGACACAGGUGGUCAGGUAGAGAAUACCAAGGCGCUUGAGAGAACUCGGGUGAAGGAACUAGGCAAAAUGGUGCCGUAACUUCGGGAGAAGGCACGCUGAUAUGUAGGUGAAGUCCCUCGCGGAUGGAGCUGAAAUCAGUCGAAGAUACCAGCUGGCUGCAACUGUUUAUUAAAAACACAGCACUGUGCAAACACGAAAGUGGACGUAUACGGUGUGACGCCUGCCCGGUGC